GUGUUCACUUCAGCAGCACAUAUACUAAGAUGGAAGUGUUACAAAGAAGAAUAGCAUGACCCCUGUGCAGUAGUAAAUGUCUGAGGUGAUGGUAUACCGAUUAUC
RNAcentral lists this small nuclear RNA (105 nucleotides) under Chinchilla lanigera (long-tailed chinchilla). The record is from RNAcentral. Lineage: Eukaryota; Metazoa; Chordata; Mammalia; Rodentia; Chinchillidae.